AACGAACGCUGGCGGCAUGCUUAACACAUGCAAGUCGAACGGAAAGGCCCUGCUUUUGUGGGCUGCUCUAGUGGCGAACUGGUGAGUAACCCGUGAGUACCCUACCCUUGACUUUAGGAUGACUUCAGUAAGCUGAUUCUCAUCCCAGAUAAGAGCUCCUGCUUCAUGGUGGGCGUUGGUCAGUUUCGGCGGUUGGGGGUGGACUCGCGGCUUAUCAGCUUGAUUGUGUGGUAGUGGCUUACCAAGGCUUUGCACGGUAGCCGGCCUGCGAGGGUGACCGGCCAAACUGGGAUGGAGAUACGGCACAGACUCCUACGGGAGGCAGCAGUGGGGAAUAUUGCACAAUGGGCGGAAGCAUGAUGUAGCAAAGCCGUGUGCGGGAUGACGGGCAGCGGGUUGGAAACCGCAUUCGCCUGAGACGAAGCGUGAGUGACGGUACCGGGUAAAGAAGCACCGGCUAACUACGUG
This 468-nucleotide ribosomal RNA is filed under the name uncultured bacterium. Its description in RNAcentral is "partial 16S ribosomal RNA". It matches the Rfam family "Bacterial small subunit ribosomal RNA", at positions 29 to 507 of the family's 1533-position model. The record is from RNAcentral.